UACCAUUGUGGCUGACACCAUUGUUGCUUUCGAACCAAGGAAAAAUUAUCUUGCUCAAUACCAUCUCGAUAGUGGCACGUUAUCGGCAGCAUCAGAUGGAUGUACACCAGGGGUUGCUUUUCUAAGUCCUUGCAGCAUAAUUUACCAUAUCUUUUCCUGCUGCUUUCGUGAGUACUGGAACAAAGGACAGAUAAUCCGCCAUGGGAAUUUGAAGCAGUGGAGGGUGAAGAGAAAGUGGCGACAUGGGGCGUAAACGGCUCCUGUACCUUGGUGGAUUAUUUUUACAUUAUGGGAUUCUUAAUUAUUGGCAUAUGUAUUUACCCUUGCGCAAGAACAUAGUUACGUACAUCGAUGGUGUUUUAUAUUUAGCCAGGCAAUAAUUUCCCAUUCAAAAAGCUAAUUCAACUUCUCUAGUUGCCCGGGGUAACAUAAAUGUCUAGUGGCUUUCUGAACUUCUGAAACGACUAUGACCAUGAACAUUGGGGUUUUGGUGUUCUUGCCCCUAUUUGGAAUGUCAAUGGUGAUUUUACCCCUCCUUUUUGUAUUGAGCGUUUUUGCCCUCACUUUUCAAAAAUGAAGAUCCAGUUUGCCCUAUUCUAUUAAA
Long non-coding RNA from Panicum virgatum (switchgrass), 604 nucleotides. RefSeq lists it as uncharacterized. The record is from RefSeq and is a predicted model, not a curated record. Lineage: Eukaryota; Viridiplantae; Streptophyta; Magnoliopsida; Poales; Poaceae. The transcript has 3 exons.